CCUCCCAUGAUUUUGUGAUUCCAUACGCACUUAUAUAUAUGAAGAUAACAAUUUCUUCUAAAUUAUGUUGAUUUUUGUUACUCUUGAGUAAAAGAAAAGUAGACCUAGUGCUGCUAACUCGUUAUUUAUGUUAAUUGCAAUGACCAUUUUUAAAGAAGUGAUUUCUAUGAGCUGCAUACUAAUAUUUGAAUAGAUUCUGGAAAAAUAUGAGCUUUAUCCUGUAGUCUGCAAGAUUUCCCACUGAGUGUAAUGAAUUUUCAUCCUGGUAAUGAGUCAACAUCAGUAUAUCAGUGUUUGUAUUUUGUAUUUAAUUUACCUUAUUGCUUUUUAUAAAUUUAUUUAUUUUUAUCUAUAGGGAUUAAUUUUAUUGCUUUAAUUCUAGAAAUGUACAUAUUUGACACAUUUAAAAAGUAAUUGGGAAGUGGAAUGUAUCUGAAGUAAAAAUAAGAGUAGUGACAGAGUAAAACUAACUAUAUUCAAUUAUUUUCUUAUCUCAGAGAUAACUAUGAACAUUGCAUGCCAUUUUGAUGAUAUUUAGUCUCUUUUAUUUGGAGAGAAAUAACAAUGCUCUUCUCUGCUAUUACCACAGAAAUAAAACGCCUCUUCUCUAGGUCCCUCUACCUUCAUGGCAACAAAGACGUCCAGAUGACAGAUGGAGGAUCCUCUUGGUGUGGGCCUAAGAUGGCCUUUCAGAUGAUGAAGUAAAAAGAAGAAAUUAAGAGUUGCUACCACUGAAAUGCCAGGUUUUUGAUGAGCAUCAUAUUAAAAUGCAUUCUUUGAAGUGUUACUUAUUUCAGGUAAGAUUAUGGAGAAGGAGAAAAAUGCAGUACUAGUUAAUUUAUCUUAAACUCCUAAAAAUCAUGUGUGCCAUCAGAAAUAUCAGCUUGCAGAAAAAUUUGGAUUCCUUGUCCCCACAUUAAUUGUUUAACAAAAAAAAUGACCAGAUUUAUGAUGUUUUUUUUUAAAGAACAUUUUUAGCUAUUUCUAACUUCUGGAGGCUUUAUUUCUUAGUAAAUCAGGAAUCCUGUUUCUUGAGGAGCAUACUGAGGGGAACAAUGAGAAUGAAACUUUGACACAUUCUGACAAAACAGAGGAGAUAACGCUUUGAAAAUACACUUUUUCCUUCUGUGAACUCAGUAAGAACAGUGUGUUUUCAUCAGCUUCCUUAGAGUUUAAUGAAACAUUUACAUGCCAUAGUGAUAGCAUACUUAUUAGUUAAAGUAUCUGGAAAGCUUUGUAAUAUCCAGAGCUUUUGAAAAUGAGAGAUGCUGGUAGUUCAAGAUGCAAUUCAGUCUGUUAGCUGGAUAUGGUUGUCCUCCUUAGAUGCAGGUGAAUUGACUGUUAAAGGCCACGUGAGGUUUUAUGGCAACUGUAGAGGAAACUCUCUGUGGUCUGAGGAGAAAAUUCUCUCGGCUGCAACAGAAUUAAGCCUUAGGAGCCUGCAUUUCUUGUCAGCUGUGGAAAUUCAACCUCAUACAUUUCACUGUAGAUGAAAGUAUCUGCCUUGUGUGCUGUUCUUUCUGGGGCCAGGGGUUAACGCUUGCAAGUAUUUCUGCUACAUCUAAAUAAACCUGAAGUAAGGAUUUCUGGCGAUUGUGGCAACAUGCAAUUUGUUGUAUAAAUAGCAGCUCAAAUGCAAAUACUGGAAAAUGAGUAAGGAUAUGUAAGUAUAGUCUUUUGCCUGUACAAAUACAGUUUUCUGUGCUGCAUCCUCAUUCAGGCAGGCAAAAUAUACUAAUAGGUACACUACAGAGUUCAUUCCAAUAUGUAAGCCAGCUUUUGGGGGCAGUCAUGUGUGGAACCACGGGUUGGACAUGAUGAUCCUUACAGGUCCUUUCAAACUCGGGAUAUCCUCUGUUUCUGUGAUUAAGGAGUAACAAAAAAAUGUAUGCCUCAUCAGUUACUACUAGUGGCAGAACACCAACAAGAUACCUAGAGAUGCAAAAGAUGUGGUGAAUUGAUUCACAUAUAAUUGAAAGUAACAUUUACUGCAGCCUGGUUGUAUCACUGGUAGUAAAUCCUGAGUUAUUUUUUUUUCUCUAAGGAGUAUGAAAUCCAAAUUCUGGCAUGUAGUGAAUUUCUGAGUUUCCUUCCAUUUCCUCUUGAGAGUGCAAACCAUAUAUUUCAUUAUGACAUGAGAUUGAGAUUGCUUAGCAGAAGACUUUUUCUUGUAUAUUCAUCACCUACAAGGUACUGUAAAGAAAGAUAUUCCAAAGUCUACAUCCAGAUAUUGUUUUCUACUGAUUUAAUUCUGAUCAUUAAGAAAAAUUAGGGUUGUCACUUCACACUGUCAAAUUAGGUUCCUUCAUUUACUUUUAUGUAAGUUAUUUCUCUCUCUAUAUAUAUAUGUGUGCUUGUAUAUAGUGUAGGUAUAAUACAUAAAGCAUAGUCUACAUAGACUAUAUAACUUGUUAUCUAUGUAUGUAUACAUUAACUAUAUUCAUACAAAAAACUAUGUCUCUUAACUUUUUACAGAGAAUCCCACAGAAGUUGUACCAGAAGUGUCACAGAUAAAUAUAACUGCAACAUUGCUAGAAAAUGACUGUAAAUCUUCAGUAUCUUUUGACUGGGUAAAAUUAAGUUCUGAGCACUGCUAAGAAGUAGAUCUAGCAACAUCACCUCCAAUUCUCACCAGUCAUCAGCUGUGAACAUGACUUCCAAAGUUUCCAGCGCACAGAGUUUUAAUGACACGACUUACAGAUUAUGGAGUUUUUUGCAGCAUCAAGAGGAGAAAUGGAAAUGGAUGUGUUGUGGAGGGAAUCAGAGAGAAAAAUUGCAGCAUUUAGUUGAAAGAAAAAGGAAAAAUACUCCAGGAUGUUAAUUCCUGCCAUUCCCUUACUUACCAGCUUAGUAUCCUAUAAAAAACCUGGCUUCUCCAGAAAGUAUCAGCAGUAUUACAGCAACUGUGCAAUGAAUAUCAUCAUCCAAUCUUUCUUUGUUUUUAUUUUAUAAUAGUUACCUUAAAAAUGUACUAAUGGAAAGGAUGCUUGUAAAGUAUUUUCACAGCAGUCAGAAGCAUGAGUGCAUUUCAUGUAGACUGUGGCUAAUUUAUAGUUUAGCCACCUUUGGGAAGGUUAUUCAUAUUGCCAUGUGAUAAAGUACAGGUUUCCUCCUUGUGUGUAACUGUAUAUUUUCCACUUUUUUUUUUUUUUUUUUUUUUUUGCACUUAACAUCACACAGCUGCUUUGUUACCCAGUUCAAAGUGAGCAGUGAUACUGGCCUGAGUUAUCACAUGUUAACUUCUGUGCAGAUAUCCAAAAGACUCACUCAUUCAGGGAGAGCCCUGACUCUUCGUUUUUGGAUGAACCAAAGCAAGCUACCUCCUACCAAUUGAAAUGGCACUAAAAGAUUAAUAUAAAUUUGCUGUUGAUGAUGACGUACAGCUCCAGUUAGUGUUAAAGUAAUUAGUGGGAGCAUGCUGCCUUUUGUUAAUGAAGACUCAUGAAUUAAAUGCAUUGUGAAACACUUUCAGAACAAUUGUUUGGGCUUUCAGUGAUUUGAUGAAUGAAAAGUUUGUAGCAUUCAUGGUUUCACUUUACCAUGCCUCAGAGGUAAGUUAGCAAAGGAAAGUCGACAAAUGCUUUACUAACAUCUUCCCUAAGAAAAAGUUUAUUCCUGUCUUGUGCUCAGUUCUUGACCACUGUCUAUAAUCUGUACUAUAAUCUGUUAGUGCUGCUUGAGCCUCUGUGUAAUACACAGAGAGCUUGUAAGAUCCUUUUUGUAAAUCCCACAUAGUAUUAUUUGUGUGAUUAAGUGUUUAUGCCAUGAUAAGGAGCAAAUGAUCACAAAUACUACUGGGAGCAAAAAUAAUGUCCUCUGAUUUCAUUUGUGAAAGUAAAUGCAGUAUAUCUGAGUUUGAGUGACUAGCUUGAAAACCAAAAAAAAGGUGGGUUCCUGACAGGCAGCAAACCUCUCUGGAGAGAUUUUCUUGUGUGAGAGAUGGGUGCCUCAGUGCCCCUCAACAAAGAAUCUCCAAUUAUCAAGACCCUUUCUUCUUAUUUUAGUGGCACUGGUCACCAUUUGAGUCCUCGCUGGUCCUUACUUGAGCCAUCCUAGUGUCAUCACCCUUUUCCAUUUCCUAAGCUAGUAUUCAUGUCUUCUUAUUUCUCUCUCAUCAGUCUGAAGUCUACUAGCUAGUGGGACUUCAGGGUCUAGGGGAAGGCUUCUCUUUUUGCCCCAAGUAGAGAUGAGGGUCCAGCCUCCCUCAUGCUGCUCACGUUUGUCCUCUCUCUGGUCAGAUGAGUGCUUAACACCUUCCCCUGGCUGGACUCUAAGACAGGGCUGUCUGUCUUCCCACACAACUGUGUGAUACCAACCAUCAGUUUCCCUCUCUGAUUGCUGAAUACAACUCAGCCUGACAACCUCCACUGUUUACCUGGUCAUCUGCUAAGAAGAUGAUCCAGUUGGGCACAUCUGCAUGCAUGGCACUACCAAAGUUCUGGGCAGCCCUCUUGCUCCUCAGAAGAUCCUUCUGGGUGCACUUUUCAGACUUGAGAGGUAGUGGGCCUCCUGCCUCAGUUUCUGUCUCUGCCUUUCUGCUGUGCCAGGGGAUCACUGCAUUGCUACUAAUGGAGAGGUUUCCCCUUGUGACCCAUGAUAAGAAUAAGAAUGCAUCUGCCACAGAGCUGAGUACCUCAACUCCUUCUUCCUGCUUUUUUAUUUUUUUCCACCUUCAGAUUUUUCCGUUUAAUUACUUAGAGUGAAUGAGUUUUUAUGUCAUGAUAAAAACACCUUUCAUCCAUCUCCCUUCUUAUUCUGACUUGGAGGGCUGCCACAUUCCUAGGAGCAUCCUUUCCACAUCAUGUUUGCUUAAGCUUUUGAAGGAAAGCACACUAGAGAAAGAGAAGUACUACUUACAAAGAGCACUUUUCUCUGUUACUCCCACUCAUUUCUUAGUAGCUGAUUGGAGUAUAGGAAUCUGAUGUAUGUGAGAUGUAUAAGAAGGCAACUUUGUAUGUAUUUCUGAUCUUUUAUUAAACAAAUGGUAGCAAGUGGAGCAUGGUAUAUUAAAGUAUUUCACUGCCUGGAGAAAAUAUCUUGAAUGUGCCUUUAAAUAAGCAGAUCUUAAAUGGUGUAAAAUCUCAAAAAUGUAGUGCAAUAUUUUUUUUUAAUAGUGACUCUGUUGUUAGUGAUGACAAGUUAUACCUCUAAAUGUUAGAACAAAAUUGUUAAAGCACUGAUGGUCAAUUAAAUAAGAAAGUGGAAGUGGAGUCAGGAAAAAAAAAGUCAGGAAUCUGGUAUCUUCGUUGUUUAACUCCAAAUGUGAACAAACCAAUGCUUUCUUCAUCUGGACAACAGUUAUAAUCACACAGAAUCACAGAAUGUCCUGAGUUGGAAGGGACCUCGAGGAUCAUGAAGCUCCAGCACCCCUGCCAGGCAGGG
Coturnix japonica (Japanese quail) is the source of this 5382-nucleotide non-coding RNA. NCBI's taxonomy places the organism in Eukaryota, Metazoa, Chordata, Aves, Galliformes, Phasianidae. The record is from RefSeq and is a predicted model, not a curated record.